UGUCCUAUAACGUUGUUGCUGGAGAAUUUAUUGGUCGCUUGCUCUAGCUCUCCGUAUGAGAACUGGAAGAUCAUCCCGUGGAUUGUUUCCGGUUUACUCACACAAAACAAAGAAGCAUUCUGAAAGAAACAUCCCGAGAGUGAGGAGGUGAUGCUGAUCUUGGGUUGUGAGAUGGAGCUUUUACGGGCUAUUAAGUUGGAAGAGCUGUGCCAGCUAGAUUCUCUGUCUGAAGAGACUGAAGGGCUUUGUCCAGAAACAUUGCUGGUCCUUCGAUAAAUGUAGUAAAACAUGGAGGCAAGGAAGGCUACUGAAGUAACUGCGACGCAGAAGAUUAGUGUGACGAGAAGGAGUUUCCUUGAUAAAGAUUGCUUCUUCAAAGGUCCUGGAAACCAUAAAAGAGAUAUAGCUAUGAUAUAGUGACUGAGCUUUCCCUAGAACAUAGAGUAAGGUACCUACCAGCAGAGCAGUUGCAAGCAGUGAAGCAUGAAGAGUUGGAACCGGUACCGGAUAUUAUUGGAAAUCCAUUUGCCGGACACAAGCAUACCCAUUGGUCUCUCUCCGCUAGGUAAGAUCAAGAACUUAGUUUUCUCUAGAAUCUUGAACAGUUACUUGAUGUUGAAGAGUUAGGAACUAAAAUCAGAAAGCCAACCUGGUCUGCAGUUGCAUGAUGUGGAACAGUUAGAUUCCAAGAUAUCAGUUUUGUUGCCUGAAGAGAAGCACGUGCACGUCCAGUUGCUAGCACCUACAAACAGAAACUUGAUCUAUUUAGUUGCAAGUCACACCGGUUUCACUUAUUGGAAAUAAUAUAAAGUAAGACACUAAACCUCCAUAACAUAGCUGAAUGGAUAUGAGGACUGAGAGAAUCACAAGUGCGGUUUCCACUUUCAUCUUCAUUUAUAUUUGCUGCAGCAGAAAGAAAUAGUUUAAUAUCUGAGAGUAGUUGAUAGAAGGGCUCUAAUAUGAAGAUUAGAUGAAAACCUUCAUGUCAGUUUUAAUCUUCUACUCAAAGCAAACUCAACCUGAAACAAAAUACGUUGUAUUAAGAACCAGAUUACAAGGAGAGCUGAAAAUUUAUAGAAAUUUAAGAGUAAAUCAACAGUGGGGUGUGAAUAAAAAUGGGUUGGUGAACAGACAUCCAAAAGAUUCUAACUCUGUUGCACCUACUGAGAAACAAAGUUCCAAGAUAAUCAACAUAAACAAAAACAUUCUAUGACCUGGUCAAAAACAACAAUAAAGAGACUCCGGUUCUUUAACUGGCCAGAGCUUAGAAGAUGAUACAAGUAACCCCAAAAUCACUAAAAGUAGUCACAUCAACAUUUAAGACUCAUUGCCACUAAUCUAAAUUCUGCAAAUUUUCUACAUCCCUCUAUAGUUAAGUUGGUUAGAUAAAAGACACAACAACAGGAGAACCGACACUAAUUGGCCGACUAGUUCUAACAACAGAGCAAACCAUAACAAGACAAGAGAGCCAAUAUAGUGGAUUAGAUACAUUACCCUACAAAAGUGGUGAAGUUGGAGAAAGAACAAGCUUCUUUUAGUGAAGUUGUAGUAUCAAGAAAAGGAAGUUGCAGACAAAAGGAUAUAUACACAAAAAGAAAGAAAGCAAUGAAGCAUCAUGAGGGAUAUGGAUUAGUAAAAUAUAGUAUACUACAAUAAUGGUGAUUAUUGAAAUGAUUGAUUAGUAGAAACAGUCAAAUAAUGGGAAACACAGAGUAGGAAUAAUUAAAUGGGAAUGAAAAUGGACCAACCACCUUUAGGAAAGAAACGGAAUUGCAAAUCUGAGUGUGACCCUUCAACCAAUUAUAGUAUCAAAGUUGAAGAAUCAUUCAAAUACUUUUCUAAAAACCAUUUUUACAUCAAAAAAACAGCUUUUUUUAUAACUUUAUAAACUGUUUAAUAAUGGCAAAAUCUUCAUAUUAUAAUCAAACAAACAUUCAAAAAUGCUAGAUUGUGAAUCCAGCAAGAAGAGUUAAGAAGCAUUUCGAAGUUAAGAAUCAGACAAGAAGUAAAGAACCAAACACUAAAACAUAAAAUCAAAUCCGUAAACCGAGAUUAGAUUAAAAUUAGAUUAGAUAUAUCCAAAAAGAGAUGGAAGAAGAGGAAAGAAAGGGCAUUGCUUUUAAGGAAAAGCAAAAAAAACGUAGGUCGAAGCAAAAUGUGUCGGCUAUCGGUAACCAGUCCUUAAACCGGUUUAGGUUGUGGGACCCGGUUCCGCCAUUGACCGUAUCCAAAGGCUCUUUCUUUUUAAUGGGAAAGUGAAUUUUAUCGGAACAAAAAAAAAAGUUAAGCUUUUGGAGAAAAUCAACAGAGACCCCAUUUUAUGAUUUUGAAGAAAAUGAAAAACACAAAUCAAAAAGAAAUAAGACUAACAAUAACCUUUGCAAUGAAGGAAGUCGUUGACGUGAGUGAGAGAUUAUCUUUGGCGUAGCCCCCAAAAACGAAGAAGAUUCAAAAGCUGGUGCUACUAACUACACCAGUAAGCUCAAAAUCACGUUUGCUUCUGAGCUUUCCAGUGUAAAAGAUAAGCGAGUGAAUGAGAGAAACUGCAAUCUUUUCCCGUUGGUCAGAUAUCCAAAAAAAAAAAAAAAAAGAGAAUUAGAAAGCCAAACGCGAAUAUAAAAACAAAGGUGUCCACGUAAUAGCGUUUGCGUUUGCGUUUGCGUGAUCAACCGCUCUGUAAACCGUCGCUGCUCAAACACUUAGCCAUCCCAAGAUCUGUUAUCUGUAAACAAUGUUUAUUCAAGUUCACAUUUGGUCUCACCGAAGCAAAUAAAGCUUUGCUCUUCACUUACUUUAGCAUGCCAAUUCUCAUCGAGGAGGAUGUUAGUGGAUUUAACAUCUCUGUGCAAGAUUCUUGGAGCAGCAGCUUCGUGGAGAUACUCGAGCCCUCUUGCAGCUCCAAGAGCGAGAGAGAUUCUGAUGUUCCACGUCAUCUUCUCUCCCAGCUCUCCAUCCAAGCAGUCUCUCAGAUUCCCGUAAGACAUGUACUCAAAAACCAGAAGCCUCUCCGCAUGCUUGCCGUGAAACUCCGAACAGUAUCCAAUCAAUGGAACCACAUGGUAAUGAUGGAGUCUUGAUAACAACUCAACCUGCAAAGACAUUUCAUAAUCUUGAUCAAAUAGGAAUCCAUCCAACCAAGAAGCAGGGGGAGAGGAGGUUAGUAGUACUUCUGUUGAGAAUAGAGUGUCGUUGUCGUUUCCUUUAGGAGCAUUUAAGCGUUUGAUCGCAGCGGUUUUACCGUCUUUGAGCUGUCCACGGUAAACGCAGCUACUUCCUCCGUGUCCUAUAACGUUGUUGCUGGAGAAUUUAUUGGUCGCUUGCUCUAGCUCUCCGUAUGAGAACUGGAAGAUCAUCCCGUGGAUUGUUUCCGGUUUACUCACACAAAACAAAGAAGCAUUCUGAAAGAAACAUCCCGAGAGUGAGGAGGUGAUGCUGAUCUUGGGUUGUGAGAUGGAGCUUUUACGGGCUAUUAAGUUGGAAGAGCUGUGCCAGCUAGAUUCUCUGUCUGAAGAGACUGAAGGGCUUUGUCCAGAAACAUUGCUGGUCCUUCGAUAAAUGUAGU
This 3562-nucleotide long non-coding RNA is filed under the name Brassica napus (rape). RNAcentral describes it as "long non-coding RNA (BNAP_LNC015437)". Lineage: Eukaryota; Viridiplantae; Streptophyta; Magnoliopsida; Brassicales; Brassicaceae. The record is from RNAcentral.